AUGUCAUCUUUCAUCCUCGGCCAUAGUCUCUGGCCGUUGCUCCGUCGACGUCCGUCCACCAACGGGCACCGAACCCAGGAUAGCGCCAGCAUCAAAGGAGGCAGUCAUGGAGGGAUCUUCAAGCUAUUCAUGUUCAUGUCGAUGCUCUCACCGGGGUGUAGGACGGUGGGGUUGUUGGGUCCACACAACAACCCAACGCUCCUCGCAGAUCACACGACUACGGUGACACUAUUUGGGCACCGGCACCACUGCGUGAACCUGUCCAUCCACGAGGAUACCCGCGCGCCGCCAGUGUUCCUCAUCGAGCUACCCAUGGUGACGAGCGUGCUACACAGGGAGAUCGUGUCCGGCGUGGUGAAGUUCACACUGAAGAGCGACACCCGCAGCAUGCGUCGUCUCGUGGAGGAGUACGUGUGGGCCGUCUUCUGCGACGGCUGCCAAGCCGAAUACUCCAUCGGUUGGAAGGACGCCUCAGUUGAUGAGCGAUACGUGAUGUGCCUGCUCCGUGGCCUAUCCAUGGGCGCCGGCGUGAUGCUGGCCGCACCCCAGAAAGAGGGUGGCGUGCCCAUAUAGCCUCGGCCAAGGUUAUCUAAAUUGUGA
Molecule: ribosomal RNA, 600 nt
Filed under: Triticum aestivum (bread wheat)
Lineage: Eukaryota; Viridiplantae; Streptophyta; Magnoliopsida; Poales; Poaceae
Description: partial small subunit ribosomal RNA
Source: RNAcentral